GAUGAACGCUGGCGGCGUGCUUAACACAUGCAAGUCGAACGAAGCAUUUAGAACAGAUUACUUCGGUUUGAAGUUCUUUAUGACUGAGUGGCGGACGGGUGAGUAACGCGUGGGUAACCUGCCUUGUACUGGGGGAUAGCAGCUGGAAACGGCUGGUAAUACCGCAUAAGCGCACAAUGUUGCAUGACAUGGUGUGAAAAACUCCGGUGGUAUAAGAUGGACCCGCGUCUGAUUAGCUAGUUGGUGAGAUAACAGCCCACCAAGGCGACGAUCAGUAGCCGACCUGAGAGGGUGACCGGCCACAUUGGGACUGAGACACGGCCCAGACUCCUACGGGAGGCAGCAGUGGGGAAUAUUGCACAAUGGAGGAAACUCUGAUGCAGCGACGCCGCGUGAGUGAAGAAGUAAUUCGUGAUGUAAAGCUCUAUCAGCAGGGAAGAUAGUGACGGUACCUGACUAAGAAGCUCCGGCUAAAUACGUG
Molecule: ribosomal RNA, 481 nt
Filed under: uncultured bacterium
Lineage: Bacteria
Description: partial 16S ribosomal RNA
Rfam family: Bacterial small subunit ribosomal RNA
Source: RNAcentral